Molecule: unclassified non-coding RNA, 385 nt
Filed under: soil metagenome
Description: partial contains 5.8S ribosomal RNA, internal transcribed spacer 2, and large subunit ribosomal RNA
Rfam family: 5.8S ribosomal RNA (bases 2-120)
Source: RNAcentral
UAUGAAGAACGCAGUGAAAUGCGAUAAGUAAUGUGAAUUGCAGAAUUCAGUGAAUCAUCGAAUCUUUGAACGCACCUUGCACCCUUUGGCAUUCCGAAGGGUAUGCUCGUUUGAGUGUCAUUGUACUCUCACACUCCCAAUUGCUUUGGAUUGGGAGCGGUGGACUUGGGUGUUGCUGCUUGACUGAGGCUCACCUGAAAUAUGUUAGUGCACCUCUUGAUUGGACAUAGUACGGCGUGAUAAGUGUCUUCGCCGGCUCCUCGCAAAGAGGGUGGCCGAUCGGGAGCUCUGUUGCUUCAAACUGUCUUCGGACAAUCUUCUGGCGACUUGACCUCAAAUCGAGUAGGACUACCCGCUGAACUUAAGCAUAUCAAUAAGCGGAGGA